Molecule: ribosomal RNA, 492 nt
Filed under: uncultured bacterium
Lineage: Bacteria
Description: partial 16S ribosomal RNA
Rfam family: Bacterial small subunit ribosomal RNA
Source: RNAcentral
AUUGAACGCUGGCGGCAUGCCUUACACAUGCAAGUCGAACGGUAGCACACCUUCGGCUUGCGCCGACUGGCGGCCAGGGGCGGAAUGGUGCGGAACGUACCCGAACCUACGUGUUAGCGGGGCAUAAGGUUUGCUAAUACACCAUAAGACCUCAUACGGACUACAGGUGAAAGCAGGGGAUCUUGGGGACUGGCCCGCCGGAAUGAGACGAUGUCGGAUUAGCUAGUUGGCGGGGUAAAGGCCUACCAAGGCGACGAUCCGUAGCUGGUCUGAGAGGAUGAUCAGCCACACUGGAACUGAGACACGGUCCAGACUCCUACGGGAGGCAGCAGUGGGGAAUAUUGGACAAUGGGCGCAAGCCUGAUCCAGCCAUGCCGCGUGGGUGAAGAAGGCCUUCGGGUUGUAAAGCGCUUUUGUUGGGAAAGAAAAGCCGCAGGUUAAUACCCCGGUGUUCUGACGGUACCCAAAGAAUAAGCACCGGCUAACUUCGUG